GGGCCGUUAGCUCAUUUGGUAGAGCGCUUGCCUUGCACGCAGGAGGUGGCCGGUUCGAGCCCGGCACGGUCCA
This 73-nucleotide transfer RNA is filed under the name Patescibacteria group bacterium. RNAcentral describes it as "tRNA-Ala". It matches the Rfam family "tRNA". From Rfam's summary of the family: Transfer RNA (tRNA) molecules are approximately 80 nucleotides in length. Their secondary structure includes four short double-helical elements and three loops (D, anti-codon, and T loops). The record is from RNAcentral.